GGUUAAGCGACUAAGCGUACACGGUGGAUGCCCUGGCAGUCAGAGGCGAUGAAGGACGUGCUAAUCUGCGAUAAGCGUCGGUAAGGUGAUAUGAACCGUUAUAACCGGCGAUGUCCGAAUGGGGAAACCCAGUGUGUUCCGACACACUAUCAUUAACUGAAUCCAUAGGUUAAUGAGGCGAACCGGGGGAACUGAAACAUCUAAGUACCCCGAGGAAAAGAAAUCAACCGAGAUUCCCCCAGUAGCGGCGAGCGAACGGGGAGGAGCCCAGAGCCUGAAUCAGUGUGUGUGUUAGUGGAAGCGUCUGGAAAGGCGCGCGAUACAGGGUGACAGCCCCGUACACAAAAAUGCACAUGCUGUGAGCUCGAUGAGUAGGGCGGGACACGUGGUAUCCUGUCUGAAUAUGGGGGGACCAUCCUCCAAGGCUAAAUACUCCUGACUGACCGAUAGUGAACCAGUACCGUGAGGGAAAGGCGAAAAGAACCCCGGCGAGGGGAGUGAAAAAGAACCUGAAACCGUGUACGUACAAGCAGUGGGAGCCCUGAUUUAUCAGGGUGACUGCGUACCUUUUGUAUAAUGGGUCAGCGACUUAUAUUCUGUAGCAAGGUUAACCGAAUAGGGGAGCCGGAGGGAAACCGAGUCUUAACUGGGCGUUAAGUUGCAGGGUAUAGACCCGAAACCCGGUGAUCUAGCCAUGGGCAGGUUGAAGGUUGGGUAACACUAACUGGAGGACCGAACCGACUAAUGUUGAAAAAUUAGCGGAUGACUUGUGGCUGGGGGUGAAAGGCCAAUCAAACCGGGAGAUAGCUGGUUCUCCCCGAAAGCUAUUUAGGUAGCGCCUCGUGAAUUCAUCUCCGGGGGUAGAGCACUGUUUCGGCAAGGGGGUCAUCCCGACUUACCAACCCGAUGCAAACUGCGAAUACCGGAGAAUGUUAUCACGGGAGACACACGGCGGGUGCUAACGUCCGUCGUGAAGAGGGAAACAACCCAGACCGCCAGCUAAGGUCCCAAAGUCAUGGUUAAGUGGGAAACGAUGUGGGAAGGCCCAGACAGCCAGGAUGUUGGCUUAGAAGCAGCCAUCAUUUAAAGAAAGCGUAAUAGCUCACUGGUCGAGUCGGCCUGCGCGGAAGAUGUAACGGGGCUAAACCAUGCACCGAAGCUGCGGCAGCGACACUGUGUGUUGUUGGGUAGGGGAGCGUUCUGUAAGCCUGCGAAGGUGUGCUGUGAGGUAUGCUGGAGGUAUCAGAAGUGCGAAUGCUGACAUAAGUAACGAUAAAGCGGGUGAAAAGCCCGCUCGCCGGAAGACCAAGGGUUCCUGUCCAACGUUAAUCGGGGCAGGGUGAGUCGACCCCUAAGGCGAGGCCGAAAGGCGUAGUCGAUGGGAAACAGGUUAAUAUUCCUGUACUUGGUGUUACUGCGAAGGGGGGACGGAGAAGGCUAUGUUGGCCGGGCGACGGUUGUCCCGGUUUAAGCGUGUAGGCUGGUUUUCCAGGCAAAUCCGGAGAAUCAAGGCUGAGGCGUGAUGACGAGGCACUACGGUGCUGAAGCAACAAAUGCCCUGCUUCCAGGAAAAGCCUCUAAGCAUCAGGUAACAUCAAAUCGUACCCCAAACCGACACAGGUGGUCAGGUAGAGAAUACCAAGGCGCUUGAGAGAACUCGGGUGAAGGAACUAGGCAAAAUGGUGCCGUAACUUCGGGAGAAGGCACGCUGAUAUGUAGGUGAAGCGACUUGCUCGUGGAGCUGAAAUCAGUCGAAGAUACCAGCUGGCUGCAACUGUUUAUUAAAAACACAGCACUGUGCAAACACGAAAGUGGACGUAUACGGUGUGACGCCUGCCCGGUGCCGGAAGGUUAAUUGAUGGGGUCAGCGCAAGCGAAGCUCUUGAUCGAAGCCCCGGUAAACGGCGGCCGUAACUAUAACGGUCCUAAGGUAGCGAAAUUCCUUGUCGGGUAAGUUCCGACCUGCACGAAUGGCGUAAUGAUGGCCAGGCUGUCUCCACCCGAGACUCAGUGAAAUUGAACUCGCUGUGAAGAUGCAGUGUACCCGCGGCAAGACGGAAAGACCCCGUGAACCUUUACUAUAGCUUGACACUGAACACUGGUCCUUGAUGUGUAGGAUAGGUGGGAGGCUUUGAAGUGUGGACGCCAGUCUGCAUGGAGCCGUCCUUGAAAUACCACCCUUUAAUGGCUGGUGUUCUAACGUUGGCCCGUAAUCCGGGUUGCGGACAGUGUCUGGUGGGUAGUUUGACUGGGGCGGUCUCCUCCUAAAGAGUAACGGAGGAGCACGAAGGUUGGCUAAUCCUGGUCGGACAUCAGGAGGUUAGUGCAAUGGCAUAAGCCAGCUUGACUGCGAGCGUGACGGCGCGAGCAGGUGCGAAAGCAGGUCAUAGUGAUCCGGUGGUUCUGAAUGGAAGGGCCAUCGCUCAACGGAUAAAAGGUACUCCGGGGAUAACAGGCUGAUACCGCCCAAGAGUUCAUAUCGACGGCGGUGUUUGGCACCUCGAUGUCGGCUCAUCACAUCCUGGGGCUGAAGUAGGUCCCAAGGGUAUGGCUGUUCGCCAUUUAAAGUGGUACGCGAGCUGGGUUUAGAACGUCGUGAGACAGUUCGGUCCCUAUCUGCCGUGGGCGCUGGAGAACUGAGGGGGGCUGCUCCUAGUACGAGAGGACCGGAGUGGACGCAUCACUGGUGUUCGGGUUGUCAUGCCAAUGGCACUGCCCGGUAGCUAAAUGCGGAAGAGAUAAGUGCUGAAAGCAUCUAAGCACGAAACUUGCCCCGAGAUGAGUUCUCCCUGAGACUUAGAGUCUCCUGAAGGAACGUUGAAGACGACGACGUUGAUAGGCCGGGUGUGUAAGCGCAGCGAUGCGUUGAGCUAACCGGUACUAAUGAACCGUGAGGCUUAACCUU
This 2905-nucleotide ribosomal RNA is filed under the name Escherichia albertii. RNAcentral's name for it is "23S ribosomal RNA". It matches the Rfam family "Bacterial large subunit ribosomal RNA". Lineage: Bacteria; Pseudomonadati; Pseudomonadota; Gammaproteobacteria; Enterobacterales; Enterobacteriaceae. The record is from RNAcentral.